This 261-nucleotide long non-coding RNA is filed under the name Capsicum annuum. Its description in RNAcentral is "long non-coding RNA (CANN_LNC016423)". The record is from RNAcentral. Lineage: Eukaryota; Viridiplantae; Streptophyta; Magnoliopsida; Solanales; Solanaceae.
AAAUACCAUCUUCAGAGUUUGAUCCGAACUAGCAUCGUACAAGAUAUGCAUCCUUGUUAUGGGACUAUGGUGUGAACAAGGCACGCACUGGAUAUAUUAGUGACAAUCAGGAUCCGUCUAGGUCUAAAUGCACCUUCAUUCGGUCUAAGGAUACAGAGAUAAUUGAUGUUGAACCGUAGUUGUCUAGUAUUUAUUGUGUGACAAAAGGAUAUUGGUUACUUAUGCUUGUGGAAUUCUAGUUUUUCAGUUUUUUAAUGUUUG